AUCUUGCUCCAAAAAGAUAAAUAAUUCAACAUCGAGGUCAUAAUCUUUUUCUUCUAUAAGAACUUUAAGAAAAAAUUGUGCUGUUAUCCCUACGGUAGCUUGGUUGACUCUCAAUUUGAGGAUGAAAAUGAAAGAUAAGAAAAGAUUUAGUUUUUUACCGCCCCAGUUCAACAAAAGUAAAGUUCGAUAGGGUCUUGUCGUCCUUCUUUGUAAUACAAGUCUUUUUACUUGAACGAAAGAUUAAAAAAAUUUAGGCAAUAAAGAAAUUUACAUGUCAAACCUUUCAUUCUAGCCUCCAAUUAAAAGGCAAAUGAUUAUGCUACCUUAGCACAAAAGUAUUGCGGCUAUUUAAUAAAUCAUUGAGCAGGCCCUACUGAAUAUCAUAUCAUUCAGAAAUGUUUUUGAUAAACAGACAGUAAAAGAAUAGGCCGAGUUCAUAGACCUAAAGUUAGAAUUUUCAUUGGAGACAAAAUUUUCAUAGAAAAAAGUGUGGAAAUAUUUUACUAAUAAGAUCAUAGUAAAAUUUAUGAGCCGGGUUUCUUUUAAAAGGAUUUGUGGAGAGAGAUAGUUCAGUUUUUAAACUUAGAGGACACUAUUAAUCCUAAAAUUUCUUAGGAGAGGUGAAGGUAAUUAAUAAAAAAGGUUAUCCCUUUUUAAGUUCCGGUAUUCUUACCUUUAGAGAAAACCAGAUAUCAUUGAUUGCGAAUGGAAUUUCAUCUCUAAGUUCUUUUUGGAAAACUUUAUGAAACAAGCUUUACAAAAGAAGGUAGAUCAUCUCAAUUUCGGGAACAUUUUUUAAAAAAUAAGGGUUGAUUUUCCCUGAUACUAAAGGUACAUUCUUUUUCUAUAUUGCAAUUGAUAUGGCUUCCCCUCACGGUGAAAAGAAAGUUGAAAAUGAACAGAAAUGAAAAAGUAUUUAUUUAAAUAUAACUUUUAAUAGGAGU
This 944-nucleotide ribosomal RNA is filed under the name Aptostichus atomarius. RNAcentral describes it as "partial 16S ribosomal RNA". The record is from RNAcentral. Lineage: Eukaryota; Metazoa; Arthropoda; Arachnida; Araneae; Euctenizidae.